GUUUUUCUUCAUUUUUAAUUUUUACUAAUCAGUACAACAUCUAUAGUAACUUUUUCAUACAAUGACAAACUACUUAUAAAUGAUAUUAAUUUCCUGACAGGAAAAAUAUAAUCCUAUUGUACAUUUAUUAACAUUUUUGUAUUUGAUUUAUGGUAUCAUUGUCUUUUUUUACCUUAGUGUACAAAUAAGUGGGAAACAUAAAGAUACUAAAAAACAGCAAAGAUGUUGUGACUUGUACAACCAGAGAUAAAAAAAAUAUGUUGAUACAUGUAGUACAAGUAAUAUGCAUUUAUGUUUAAAUAUUGUUUGUUUUAUAUUUUUAUCAAAUUUUAAAAAUUGUCUGUUUUGAUAUUUUAAGAAAUGAAUCAUGUUGUUCAUUUAUUUCAUAGAUAAACAAGUAAGACUGUGAUAUUAAUAAUUCAUAUAUGCAUCAUUAUUAUAGUAGUACAGUCAUGUUAAGGUUGUUGUUUUAGUUUUUUUUAUAAUGGUUGUGUUUUAACACUGUAAAUACAUGUAUAUUUAUUAAAUGUCUAGUGAAAUAUUUAACCUAUUCAAACUAACAAAGAAAUCUUAGCAUUCAGUUAUUCACUUAUUCAGUCUGUUUGCAUGUCAUAUGAAUAUUUCACUCUUAUUGACUUUUGUUCUGAGUGAUAUUUGAGGUUUCCCCAUACCAAAACAUGGUCUUCUCCAUUUCUGUAAAUAUUAUUAGAAGGCAAGCAACACGCAUCUUCUUUGGGAGACUCUUAGAUUCUGAUAAAAAAAAUUGUAUGUGUGUUUAAGGUUUGACUACUUCUAAACAAGGGUAAAAUGCUUUUGUUUUAAAAAAAAAAGUGCCAUAACAUUACCGGUAAAAUUAUUUCUACUUUUAAUUAUUGGCAUUUAUAAGGCAAUAUUUUUUUAUGAUGGCAUUAAUUGUUUUUCUUUACCUCAUCUGGCCAAUUGUGCUAGGGUGACCUAUUGAAACCACUUGGCACACAUUUUUUGGUCUGUGCUAGUAUAUAUUUUAAUUUUCUCAGCAAGACUUUUAGGCAUUGACAUUAAUUGAAUGAUUCAGAAAAUAACUUAUUAGGCCUCAAUACAGAAAGAAGUCUUGUUAGCAAAACAGAGCCUCUUGCUAUAUAUUAUGUAUACAUCUGUGUUAAUUUUGAAUUAUAAUUGCAUUAUAUCUAAUAAAUACAAUAGUUUUUAAUGUUUUAAAAUGGCACUCAGGGCUUUUUAAUUUUGUCACAAGCAGGCAUUAACUCAUGUUAUUGUUACCUCAUGAUCCCCACUUCAGGUGUUGAUUCACCAUAUUUAAUUUCAAUUAAUGUAUUUGUUAGUAUUAACAAGUUAAUUUAUGUAUCUAUAGCAUGAUACCAUGAUAAAAUAAUAUAAUAUUAGAAAAUAUCUGGAAUGACAUACGUUGUUAUCACAUAACAAGCCAAAUUCUUAUAUAUAAUUGUACUGAAAUAUACUUAUUUUUUUUUUCUUCUAGAAAUGGAAAUCCAGUUUAAUAUGAAUUCAUGUUAUAAAUUUUAGUCUUUCAUCUAUUUUUUUGGGUGAUCACAUGAGCAACUAUCAUGGUAUAGAUAACUAAAUAACAUCCCGAAUAUUCGGGUUUUGAUUUUUUUGCUAGUUUAGUUAGGCUGUUUGUAAAUGUACUUAAGAGGCAUUAUCUGUUACCUGUUACUUGUUUGAUUUAUUCCUUUCUGUAAUAAUUUAUUGAAAAUAUAUUCUUUUUUUACUUAACUUUUAUCCAAAUUUAGUAUCAACAACAAAAAAACAUGUAUUCUAGUAGUCAGUGUCAUCUGACAGCAUUGUAAAGUAUAAAAAAUUUAUAUUCAGAUAUUAUUUGGUGAUGCAUUACCAUCAAAUAGUAGAAGUAGAUGAGGAAUACCAGUAAUAAGACAAAGUUUUGAUAUUUCUUGCUGAAAACCUGAAAAACUCCCAUUCAACACACUGUUAUCAUGUUAAAGACAAAAUGGUAUAAUCAAACUUGGCAGAUUUUAUUUUUUUAAUUUUAAGAGCUAAUUUUAAUCCUGAAGAUGGAUUUGUAAUGAAAAGAAUUGAUAUAAAAAAACUUUUUUUUUAGAGCAGGAUAAAAACCAAAAUGUACCUAGUCAGUUUAGCUGUUUAUUUCUCAAUUGCCCAAAACAAUCCAAAUCCAUGUGUCUAGUCUUGUAAGCCGGUUAAGUACGGUGACUAAUAGUUGUUAAUUUCUGUGUCAUUUGGUCUCUUGUGGAGAGUUGUCUUAUUGGCAAUCAUAUCAAAGGUAUAUAUCAGCAAUGUCACAGACAUGUUUUAAAAAAUCUGUGACAAUCAAAUAAUUUUAACACAACUUAUUUCCCUUGGAAAUACCAAUCCUUUUGGAAAUUGCAUUGUAACCUUUCAUGAAUACAUUUAUUGUCAUAUUUUUAUUGGUAGAGUUCAAAAGUCAGUGCUGAUAAACUAUUUUUACAUUUUUCCUCAUAUAUUAUUAAGCUAGAUAUCUGAUAGAUAUUGCUAAUUUCAAUAACCACAACUGACAACUGAUAAAACAAUUUUGCAUCCUAUAAAUAGAAAAACUCACCAUUCUUUCUUUCUUUAGUGGGUUAGUGUUUAUGUUUAUAUUUAAUUGUUUUUAUGUCAUGGUUGUUACAAUUUUUUACACAUUUACACUCCUAUUAAAACUGUUGAUUAUAGAAAGAAAAUAAAACAA
This 2677-nucleotide long non-coding RNA is filed under the name Mytilus galloprovincialis (Mediterranean mussel). The record is from RNAcentral. Lineage: Eukaryota; Metazoa; Mollusca; Bivalvia; Mytilida; Mytilidae.